Molecule: long non-coding RNA, 594 nt
Filed under: Physcomitrium patens
Lineage: Eukaryota; Viridiplantae; Streptophyta; Bryopsida; Funariales; Funariaceae
Description: long non-coding RNA (PPAT_LNC013264)
Source: RNAcentral
AUUGUCAUGGAGAGGGAAUAGUACGCGCUGUAGGUAGGAUUUUCUGUCUUCAAUUCCCUAACAAUGCUGAGACAGAAAUCAAAGGAAGGAGUCAAACUUCAGCCAUGGCAUGCAACCAAAAUUUAUGAUGAUCAAGGCAUUCUCCGAUCAUCCCGUCAACACAAUUGAGCUGACUGUGAGGCGGUCUAGAGUAGGUUUGAACUUUAUACAGCAUCACAUCGGGACUUCAUUCAUGAAUUAAACCGCAGACACAGAAAUCGUAGCUCACAGGAGUACGUUACGACAUGCCAUGUGCACUACCAAACUGUACUUGUGUCGGAAGGAGAUAUUUCUUGUAUGUCGCUGGCAGAGUGUCUGGUGACGAUCAUGGUUCGUACAUGUAUAUAGUGCAAUCUUAGUCACCCGACUACAAGUGCUUUACACGACGGGAACCGAGAGGCGAGAUGAAGGAUUUGUAGGAACGUUUGGCGUAAGCAAAGAAAAGGAAGCCAUGAACAUAGCAUAGAGCAAAGGCAUCCGUGCUCCUGGUGCCUGUGGUCCACCAUAAUUUACUUGCGAAGCGCUUGUAAUUUCCAACAGAUCGAGGAAAUUCGU